UAGGGAAUCUUCCACAAUGGACGCAAGUCUGAUGGAGCAACGCCGCGUGAGUGAAGAAGGUCUUCGGAUCGUAAAAGCUCUGUUGUUGGUGAAGAAGGAUAGAGGCAGUAACUGGUCUUUAUUUGACGGUAAUCAACCAGAAAGUCACGGCUAACUACGUGCCAGCAGCCGCGGUAAUACGUAGGUGGCAAGCGUUGUCCGGAUUUAUUGGGCGUAAAGCGAGCGCAGGCGGAAUGAUAAGCCUGAUGUGAAAGCCCACGGCUCAACCGUGGAACUGCAUCGGAAACUGUCAUUCUUGAGUGCAGAAGAGGAGAGUGGAACUCCAUGUGUAGCGGUGGAAUGCGUAGAUAUAUGGAAGAACACCAGUGGCGAAGGCGGCUCUCUGGUCUGCAACUGACGCUGAGGCUCGAAAGCAUGGGUAGCGAACAGGAUUAGAUACCCUGGUAGUCCAUGCCGUAAACGAUGAGCGCUAGGUGUUGGGGACUUUCCGGUCCUCAGUGCCGCAGCAAACGCAUUAAGCGCUCCGCCUGGGGAGUACGACCGCAAGGUUGAAAC
Molecule: ribosomal RNA, 555 nt
Filed under: uncultured bacterium
Lineage: Bacteria
Description: partial 16S ribosomal RNA
Rfam family: Bacterial small subunit ribosomal RNA
Source: RNAcentral